GGGGAUGAAAUUUUCCAGUGUCAGGAUGAUUCUCCCGAGUGAAUUUGAACCCAUACCAGUGUGGCACUAAGGUAGGAUACUGUACUCUAGAGUAAAACGUCCCCCGGGAUAAAAUAUAGGUAGGAUAUAAUCCUUGCUUACAUUUACCAUAUCAUGAUCUCAGUCCGAUAACUUGUAGUUUCAACAGUGGGAAUUAAUCAAAAGUAAAUAUUAGAUAUUUCAGUGCAAGCUAAAUGUCAUCUCUUCUACAGCAAGCCUGAGGUUACACUAGGACAACAUGGACACAUUUGUUGUAUCCAGCUCACUCACUCACUCACUGGUGUCUCAGCCUUAACAACUCCGCAAUAUCAUGUCAAGACGAUGAUGAAGACGUGUGUAGGGUACGAGUGAGAUAUGUACUUUCAUGUAAUGAUGGCGGACUAUCCUGUGAAGGAGUCACUGUGCACAUUUUGUCUUAUCAGUUUGUGAACAUGAUGAUAACAAGAUGUUACAGACAUAUCAGUAGGCAAACUGUUUAAAAAGUGUCUUGGACGACGAGUAUUCAAAUACUGUGUGUGGCAUCAUUGUGAUACGUUUUCAUGACCGGACUCGGUGCACAUGCACUCAGACAUUAGAAUUGUGGGGUUACUGUGAACAGUGAAAGAUUUCUGCUGUGCAGUUAGUGAAAGCAUUUCAGUUCAUUACCAUGAUUAUGGCAUAAGUGGCACAGGUUCACAUGUAGGUGGAUUGUGUUCAGAGUUAAGGGAAUCAAUGUGACCUGUCAUUCCAGCUUCCUAAACAAUGGCCAAGGAUACCAGCAGGGUGUUGAAACCUCCUUGAAAGUCACGCACAACAUUUCACAGUCCAGGGACAUAAACAUGACAUUUUUGUUUCAAGGAAGUUACGGUUAGUGGAACUUGGCUUGACACUCAUUCUGUGCUAAAAGCUUUGAGUCUACUUCCCGGAACUUUUCACGUGGCAUCAUUUUCAGUAAACCUUGGUUUAAUGUAUGGACCUAAAACAGCAACGGUUUCUUGACCGAAAGACGUUUUACUGGACUCGGGCGUCAGACUUGUUGCUAAAGUCAGAGACUGCACUCAUCCCUGUUAGCAUGACAUCCGGGGUCCAUUGAACUGAGCAUGACAUUCUGAAAGCCAAAUGAUCUUAGCGUGACACUUUAAGGUUGUUGGAAAUAAGCAUGACAUUUGAGGUUCAACGAAAGUUUGCGUGUGUGUUACGGUGUGUGAAAGUUGCCAUGAUUUCCCAGGUCACAUGAUGUCUUGUGGAUGCUGAAAUCAGCUUGACAUUUUUUUAGUGCAAGCAAGGGAAAGCUAGACCUCUUGAUCUAUCUGUACAAGGUCUAUUAGCACUGACUUAAUGAUGAUCAGAGAUUCUGCCAGAUCCUUGGACCAGGAGCCGUGUGGUCCAGGAGCCAUGUGGACCAGGAACCGUGUGGACCAGGAGCCGUGUGGACCAGGAGCCGUGUGGUCCAGGAGCCGUGUGGACCAGGAACCGUGUGGACCAGGAGCCGUUUGGUCCAGGAGACGCGUGGUCCAGGAGAGGAGGCACGAUGCAAGACUACUGUCACACUAAUCCAAGAUGGCGACCAAAGACAUGGCAACAAGUGGUGCCUGCAAAUUACAUGCUCUUAAUGCAAAAUGUCUUUAAGCGUGUCUUCGAGUGAGUUGUUUCCUGAUAAUAGAGCUUCUACAAUCUAUUUAUCGAAUGGUAUCGAUUAUGCAUAGUGCAUGGAGCAGCAAGGAUUGGAUUUUGUAGUCCUGCUAUUUUGUGUUCUGUGGAACUCUUCCAUUUCAUCAAAAACUACUGUGUUGAAAGCAAAGCCACUAUGAGAUAUGUGUUUAGAAGAAGGAAUUGAAUUUCAUGGAAACAAAUUCCUUCAACACUGUGAUUUAGCAAGCUGAUUCCUGGAAAUGAAAUGGGCCAAUUUGAUCCUGGGACAUAGGUUAGGUCUGCCAUUGUUUAUCCAACAUGGGAGGGUUAAUAUUCUGUGACAGUGACUGGGUUAAUAUUCUAUGACACUGAAAGGGUUAAUAUACUGUGACACUGACAAGGUUAAUAUAUUGUGAAACUGAAAGGGUUAAUAUACUGUGACACAAGGUUAAUAUAUUGUGAAACUGAAAGGGUUAAUAUACUGUGACACAAGGUUAAUAUAUUGGGAAACUGAAAGGGUCAAUAUACUGUGACACAAGGUUAAUAUAUUGUGAAACUGAAAGGGUUAAUAUACUGUGACACUGACAAGGUUAAUAUAUUGUGAAACUGAAAGGGUUAAUAUACUGUGACACUGACAAGGUUAAUAUAUUGUGAAACUGAAAGGGUUAAUAUACUGUGACACUGACAAGGUUAAUAUAUUGUGAAACUGAAAGGGUUAAUAUACCGUGA
RNAcentral lists this long non-coding RNA (2379 nucleotides) under Haliotis rufescens (red abalone). RNAcentral's name for it is "uncharacterized LOC125381675". Lineage: Eukaryota; Metazoa; Mollusca; Gastropoda; Lepetellida; Haliotidae. The record is from RNAcentral.